RNAcentral lists this ribosomal RNA (253 nucleotides) under uncultured bacterium. Its description in RNAcentral is "partial 16S ribosomal RNA". It matches the Rfam family "Bacterial small subunit ribosomal RNA", at positions 524 to 776 of the family's 1533-position model. The record is from RNAcentral.
UACGGGGGGGGUAAGCGUUGUUCGGAAUUACUGGGCGUAAAGGGCUCGUAGGCGGCCAACUAAGUCAUACGUGAAAUCCCUCAGCUUAACUGGGGAACUGCGUGUGAUACUGGAUGGCUUGGAUUUGGGAGAGGGAUGCGGAAUUCCAGGUGUAGCGGUGAAAUGCGUAGAUAUCUGGAGGAACACCGGUGGCGAAGGCGGCAUCCUGGACCAAUAUUGACGCUGAGGAGCAAAAGCCAGGGGAGCAAACGGG